UUCGCAAUGCCCGAAAGGGUGACGAAGCGACGCCGCGUGCGGGAAGAAGGCCUUCGGGUUGUAAACCGCUGUCGGGAGUUAGGAAGUGCAAGGAUGUUAAUAGCGUUCUUGCUUGACUAAGGCUCCGGAGGAAGCCACGGCUAACUCUGUGCCAGCAGCCGCGGUAAUACAGAGGCGGCAAGCGUUGUUCGGAAUUAUUGGGCGUAAAGAGCACGUAGGCGGCUAUGUAAGUCGGUUGUGAAAGCCUUCCGCUCAACGGAAGAACAGCAUCCGAUACUACAUGGCUUGAGUGCGGGAGGGGAGAGUGGAACUUCUGGUGGAGCGGUGAAAUGCGUAGAUAUCAGAAGGAACGCCGGCGGCGAAAGCGGCUCUCUGGCCCAUAACUGACGCUGAGUGUGCGAAAGCUAGGGGAGCAAACGGGAUUAGAUACCCCGGUAGUCCUAGCCGUAAACGAUGGGCACUAAGUAGAGGGGUUUU
RNAcentral lists this ribosomal RNA (477 nucleotides) under uncultured bacterium. RNAcentral describes it as "bacterial SSU rRNA". It matches the Rfam family "Bacterial small subunit ribosomal RNA", at positions 365 to 832 of the family's 1533-position model. The record is from RNAcentral.